RNAcentral lists this ribosomal RNA (254 nucleotides) under uncultured bacterium. RNAcentral describes it as "partial 16S ribosomal RNA". It matches the Rfam family "Bacterial small subunit ribosomal RNA", at positions 524 to 776 of the family's 1533-position model. The record is from RNAcentral.
UACGGAGGGUGCGAGCGUUGUCCGGAAUCACUGGGCGUAAAGGGUGCGCAGGCGGCGGUUCGCGUGGCGAGAUGAAGUCUCCUGGCUUACCUGGGAGGGUGGUCGCCAGACGGGAUCGCUUGAGGGUCGGAGAGGGGCGUGGAAUUCCGGGUGGAGCGGUGAAAUGCGUAGAUAUCAUUUGGAACGCCAAUGGUGAAAACAGCUCGCUGGGGGUUUGCUGACGCUGAGACACGAAAGCCAGGGGAGCAAACGGG